Molecule: long non-coding RNA, 3834 nt
Filed under: Mus musculus (house mouse)
Lineage: Eukaryota; Metazoa; Chordata; Mammalia; Rodentia; Muridae
Description: long non-coding RNA chr3:86364491-86368325
Source: RNAcentral
CACAGAGGUAGUUCUCCCAGGACCAGUGUUAUCCAUUACCCUUCAGAUGUACUGACCUCUGAUAUGUCCCCAAAGGUGGGAAGCUUGACUGCGAAGUUUCUGAUAGUGAGGGGAUGCCUUCACACUCUCCCCUGUUAAAAUUAAGGAAUAGAAUGAAAACUUCAUUUUUCCAUUCAUUAUCAGAUAUAUUUAAUAAUUUAAUGGUAGCAUAUGCAUAAUUUCUUAUCUUGAUGAUCUUCAUUUCUAUGCUGUGUAGAUAGCACUAACGUAGACAUAGUCAUCAACACGCUAGCUGGAGAGCUUAGUGAACAUAUUGAAAACCGUUUAAUUGUAUGCUCUUUGUGCCUGGAUUACAUGGCACGUGAAUUAUAGCUUAAUAAGACUUUACAAACAGUUCAUUGUGAGGCAAUGGCUGAAUCACAAUCUGAUUUUAGGAAUAUGUAGAUUUGUGGUACAUCCUGAAAAUUCAUUUUGACAAGUGUCUUAGAUAGGGUUUCAUUGCUGUGAAGAUCUAUCAUGACCAAAGCAACUCUUAUAAAUGAAAAAUUAAAAAAAAAAUCACGCUGGCAUACAAUUUCAGAGGCUUAAUCCAUUAUCAUCAUGGUAGAAAGCAUGCCAGCGUCCAGGCAGACUAGGUGCUGAAGAAGGAGCUGGGAGGUCUACAUCUUAAUCCGUAGGCAGCAAGGAGGAGGUUGCAUGUGUUUCACACUGGGCAUAGCUUGAGCAUUUAAGACCUCAAAGCCCACAGUGACACUUUUUCCAACAAGGCCACAUCUUCUCCAGGAAGGCCACACCUCCCAAUAGUGCUGAUCCCUAUGGCCAAGCACUAUGGGAGCCAAACUUACUCAAACCACCACAAUAAGUUAUUUUACCUUUCUGAGCUUGUCUUAAAAUUUUCAAAAAUGUUUUAAAAGGUGUUUGGUGUCUCAUGUGUGUAAUCUUAGGAAUUGUAAAGGGUGAGGACACGAUGCUGGAGGAACAGGAAUUCAGGGCUCUGGCUUCAGAUACCUUUUGUGUUUUUACUCCCAGUUAUUAUUUUUUUUAAUAAAGUUAAUGUAUACCUUAACAAUGUUUUUCAAAUUAAACUACAAAUUUUUGAGAAUAUGUACAAAAAUCUGGGGAGUAAAUAUUUACUAAGAUGAAUAAAAGAAUAUGCUAUUUUUCACUUUUGUAAGUAUUACUUAUUUACAGUAUGCUAAAUGUUUAAAACCCAAAUCAGUGUUUUGCUGUGUUUAAUUAGCCAUGUAAAAAUAAUGAUUGUACAUUUUAAGGACCGGAUAUGAAGUGUGAUAUUUGAUGAGUUUUGAGUAUACUUUAUUGCACAAACAUCAGCGUUCUCCAUUCCCACCUAAUCCCUGUCUCUGUUCCCCACAGGCAAUUGCUAUUUUAACUUUUUACAAAACCAUUUAUUAGUUUGCCUUCUCCAAAACUCUUUUUAAAAAGGAAGUAAUGAAUAUGUUCUUGAACAUAGGCUUCCUUAAUUUAUUUGACAAGUGUCUUAGUUAGGGUCUCAUUGCUGUGAAGAGAAGGCCUUUGUGAUCCAUCCAUGCUGCCGACUUUAUCAGCACUCUGUGCUGUACUGUUGCAUCAUGGUAUCCUACUGUGUAAGUACUCACUGUUUAAAAACUUCAUUUUUCUGCAUGGAGGACACUUGAGCAAUUUCUAGUUCCAUCCAGCUACUCUAAAGGGUCUGGAAGCAUAAUUGUAUAUGGAUAUUUAUAUUUUCUUGAGCAAAGUUCUAAGGUACAGUUGUUGGGUCAUAAGAUAAUUGUAUGUCUAAAUUUUGUUUAUAGGAUUAAAUUUUUUUCACUGAUUUGGAUUGAAUAAAGGACCUCAGACAUAAUAGACAAAGUGCUGUACCACUGUCUGCCCACAAUUCACUAAUCUAAAUAUUAUUUUCCCAUCAGUAUAUAUCUGUUGUAUGCAUGAAACAGAUUGUGAUGGUUCUUUUGUGAACAAAUGUGAAAGUGGAUUAUUCAUAUUUUCAUUUUUUACCUAAUUGUUAGAACAUGAAAAAUGUUCUGACAUUUUAGCAUAUAAAUUUCUGGCAAAACAAGCACAGAUUAUAUUUAUAUUGUUUUCUGAGGGUACCAUAAGCACAUAUGUAUAUGUACAUAUAUGUACACACACACACACACACACACACACACACACACACACGGUCAUAGCCACAUCUUUUUAUCUCAGUGAUCCUCCUCUGAUAUAAGCUACCAUGAUUUAAGCACACCAGUUUGGAUUGGGGGCUCAGGUGGCUGUUGCUUCUAUUUUUUAGUAUAUAGUUAACAUUGGCAGUCACCCUUAUAAUGAUGUGACACCAGCUACCCCCAAGUACAUUGAAUAAGCCUUGCCCAGCACAAGAUAACUUGAUUUAAUUGGCAACAGUAUUUGCCCUCAAAUGAUAGUCAGUGAAGUAAAACGGAACCUAUUUCACUUUGUCCUUUUUUUUUUUUUUUAAAUAACCACAGAAAUGUAUUUUUAAAAUAAUGGAAUUACAUGCCUUUAGAAAGUAUGAAUACAUUUAUUAGGGUAAAAUAUCUAAGUAACUUUGUUUAAAAAUCAAAUAUUUUAAAGCUAUUAAGGGAAUACUUUCAGCUUACAGUAUUGUCAACAAAAGACAUGAUUAAAUAAAUUGAAUGUUGAAGACUUUAAGCUUAUGGUUAACACCGGGUAAUUAAAAGUAAGAGCUGCUGUGGGAGUACAUUAUAUAUCAGCUGUCCUUUUACCUCAUUAGCUGGGGUUUUGCAUGUUUAUGGAGCUAACUUCAAUUAAAAAAUGCCUUUUAAGUUGUGUCUAACAAGGUCUUUUAGUUACUCUUUUAGUAUAAAGUAUUGCACUUUAAUUGAAACUGGUGUAUCAUAAAUACCUGUGUUCAAAUAAUACACAAUAUAAACAACUGGUUAUUUGGUACUUUUGCUGUUUAAAAAAAUUGUUUAUUGUUUUCUGUGUGAUAUAAUCAAAAGCUGUUGUGUUUCAUGAGCUUUAUACAUGUAUCCAUUGCUUGUGUAGGUAUUGUUUUCUCUUUUGAGAUAGUUAAGGUUUUAUGAUUUUAAGUUAACACUGCUUUAAAUUUCUUAUUGAAACAUAUUGAAUUUUCUGCAUCAGUUAUUAAGUUUUUAAAAAAGUUAAUUUCUUGUCCUCUUCAAUUCCAAAAUUCUCUCUUUCCACUCCCCACAUUCUCUUUGAUUAUGUUUAUUAGAAAAUUCAAGAUGGUCUUAAAUUUAAGAACUCUAGUGUAAAUGUUGGUUAAAAUGUUAAAAUGAAUUAUUUUCAUAGGACUUUGUCUUAGUUUUAAAAACAAUGAGGCUGGGGAGAUAGAUUGUAGGUAAAGUGUUUGCUGUGCAAACAAGAGGAGGGUUUGAUCCUCAUCAACCAUUGUUUUAAAAAGCUGUCUGUGUAGAAGGGAGUGUGGGGAGGGGGUGAGAAGGAUGGCUCAGAGGUUAAGAUCACUGGAUGCUCUUCCAGAGGGUCUGGGUUUGAUUCCCAUCACCCACAUGGCAGCUCACAACUGAUUGAAAUUCCAGUUCCAGGGAAUCGAAUAGCCACUUCAGCUACCAGCUACACAUAAUACAGAGUACUCAUAUGUAUUAAAUACAAACAAUUAAAAACCUUGGAUGUGAUGUGCUCUUGCAAGUUCAGCUCUGGGGAGACAGAAUCCUGUGAACCUUGGAAUUCAUCAGUUAGCCUACUGAGCAGUUCUGCCCAGUGCCAGCCCUGUCCCAAAAACAAGUUGGUGCCUGAGGAAUAACAUCCAAGGUUGUGGUCUUGUUUAUGCAUACAGACUCUGUCUGUCUCUUAAUCCUUCUCUCUCCUUCCCUCCCUCCCUCUCUCCCUCUC